CAGUAGCCGCGGUAAUACGAAGGGGGCUAGCGUUGUUCGGAAUUACUGGGCGUAAAGCGCACGUAGGCGGAUAUUUAAGUCAGGGGUGAAAUCCCGCAGCUCAACUGCGGAACUGCCUUUGAUACUGGGUAUCUUGAGUAUGGAAGAGGUUAGUGGAAUUGCGAGUGUAGAGGUGAAAUUCGUAGAUAUUCGCAGGAACACCAGUGGCGAAGGCGGCUAACUGGUCCAUAACUGACGCUGAGGUGCGAAAGCGUGGGGAGCAACCAGGAUUAGAGACCCCCGUAGUCCCUGUCUCUUAUAC
Molecule: ribosomal RNA, 301 nt
Filed under: uncultured bacterium
Lineage: Bacteria
Description: partial 16S ribosomal RNA
Rfam family: Bacterial small subunit ribosomal RNA
Source: RNAcentral